RNAcentral lists this long non-coding RNA (279 nucleotides) under Elaeis guineensis (African oil palm). RNAcentral describes it as "long non-coding RNA (EGUI_LNC029471)". Lineage: Eukaryota; Viridiplantae; Streptophyta; Magnoliopsida; Arecales; Arecaceae. The record is from RNAcentral.
CCACUCCUUCAUAGGAGUGCGGCCGAAGCCCCCACUAUUCAGUGGGAGCGCAUCCGAAGGCCCCUACUUCUCAAUGGGAGAGUCAGUGAAGCCCUUACUCUUCAAUGGAAGAGCAGCUGAAGCCCUCACUCUUUGGUGGGAGAACAGGUAAAGCCUCCACUUCUCUAUGGAUGUGUGGCCGAAGACCUCACUACCUUCACUCUUUCGUGGGAGAACAGGUAAAGCCUCCACUCCUUUAUGGAUGUGUGGCCGAAGACCUCACCUUUUAGUGAGGGCCAA